GAAAGAUGAAAAGAAUUUUGAAAAGAAAGUUAAACAGUACGUGAAAUUGUUGAAAGGGAAACGAUUGAAGCCAGUCGUACCGACGGGAAAUCAACUUCUCGAGUGCUUACCGUGGGUGACGUUGAGCUUUACGGCCUUCGUUGCUUGUGUUGUUGGUGCUUUUGGGGUGUACUUUUCCGUAUGGUAGGUCAUCAUCGAUUUUGAUCGUCAUAAAAUGAUCGGGGGAAUGUAGCUUCGGUCUCGUAUCGGAGUGUUAUA
Molecule: ribosomal RNA, 258 nt
Filed under: uncultured Glomeraceae
Lineage: Eukaryota; Fungi; Glomeromycota; Glomeromycetes; Glomerales; Glomeraceae
Description: partial large subunit ribosomal RNA
Rfam family: Eukaryotic large subunit ribosomal RNA
Source: RNAcentral